RNAcentral lists this ribosomal RNA (955 nucleotides) under Alexandrium fundyense. Its description in RNAcentral is "LSU rRNA". It matches the Rfam family "Eukaryotic large subunit ribosomal RNA", at positions 1 to 905 of the family's 3401-position model. Lineage: Eukaryota; Dinophyceae; Gonyaulacales; Pyrocystaceae. The record is from RNAcentral.
GCUUAGCAUGAAGUGAAGCACAUACACCUGCUGAGUUUAAGCAUAUAAGUAAGUGGUGGAAAUUAAACCAAAUGGGAUAUCUUUAGUAAUUACGAAUGAACAAGGAUAUGCUUAGCUUGACAAAUGGAGCUAUUGGCUUUGAAUUGUAUUGUGGAAAUGUAUUACCAACAGAGGUGCAGGUGCCAGCAUAUUGAAAUAGAGCGUCAAUGAGGGUGAGAAUCCUGUUUGCCAUGUGCAGCCCUUUGUGCACGGUGUAUAUUUGCUGAGUCACACUCCUUGGCAUUGGAAUGCAAAGUGGGUGGUAAGUUUCAUGUAAAGGUAAACAUGCAACUGAGACUGAUAGCACACAAGUGCCAUGAGGGAAAUAUGAAAAAGGUUUUUGAAAAGAUAAUAAAAUGAGUUUGUAUUUGCUGAACACAAAGUAAACAGACUUGAUUUGCUUGGUGGGAGUGUUGCACUUGCUUGACAAGAGCUUUGGGCUGUGUGUGUAAUGAUUCGUUCUUUGCAUGCCAGUUUCUAUGUUAACAUCUGAUUACCUUUGCACAUGAAUGAUAAGUCUCCUGUGGGGGGUGUAUUGCAUGUGCAUGUAAUGAUGUGUGUUUUGAUAAAUGUGUAUGGUGUAUGUGUUUGUGUUCAUGUGAUUGGGGAUGCUUCCUUCCUUGGACUUACAAGCCCUGACACACACAUGCUGGCAAAAUGAUUAUGCUUGACCCGUCUUGAAACACGGACCAAGGAGUCUAACAUAUGUGCAAAGUUUUGAAGGUGGUAUACCUGUGUGUGCAAUGAUAGUGUCAGCUGGGAUAUGUGCACCAGCACCCAUUUAAUGAGCGGACUGAGGUUUGAGUUGGAGCAUAUCUAUUAGGACCCGAAAGAUGGCGAACUAUGCCUGAACAGAAUGAAUUCAGAGGAAACUCUGAUGGAGGUUCGUAUCGAUACUGACGUGCAAAUCGUUCGU